Long non-coding RNA from Solanum pennellii, 3857 nucleotides. RefSeq lists it as uncharacterized. The record is from RefSeq and is a predicted model, not a curated record. Lineage: Eukaryota; Viridiplantae; Streptophyta; Magnoliopsida; Solanales; Solanaceae. The transcript has 3 exons.
UUUCAAUUUCCUUCGAAGCUAUUGUAGUCUCCUUCUCUUCAUCUCCAAGUACAAGUAUCAUGUCUUGGUAUAGAUUUAUGGAAAACACUGAAAGAUUCUACCACAUCGCCUUGUCUCAGAGUUUUCUGGCCCACUAGAUCAUGCUCAGCACCAGAGAUUUUGAGGAAUUGGAGCAUUAUGAUUCAAUGAAGAUUAAAAUUAAGGGUCAGAUCUAUUAUAUUUCUCGGAGAAGGUGGAUGACAUUUCCAUUUCCAUUUGACCAAGAUUUCUUAUGCGACUCUCACUCCUCAUCAAAGAACACAAACAUCCCACAAUUUUCACACAAUUUUUUUUGUGCACACUGAAGUGAAUAAUCAAUCUAAUGGGAAUUACUUCAUGAGGAGAAUCCUCAAGGAAAUGUUGUCACUGUUAAAUUUGCAGCUCAAUGGAAAGGAAAGGGCAUGGAUAUGACUAGAACUCAAUGCUAAAGUUGCAAGAAAUAUGGUCAUAUUGGUCACAAUUGUGGCAAGAAGUUUUGUAAUUAUUUUAACAAUAAGGACACAUUAUCAAAGAGUUCCCUACACGUCCUCAAAAUUGUAUUGCAAAGGCUUUCCAAGUUGGUACAACAAAUUAUCAUGUAAGCAUUUUCAACUUUGGGAAUACAAGGUAAUAAGGUAAUAUCUAAAUUUUGGCUAGUUGAUUCUGGCGCUUCCAAUCAUAUGACCAACUCAACUGAUAUAUUCAUAAACAUCUGUGAGUAUAAUGAUCCAACAAAAAUUCAUCUUGCAAAUGGUAGUAAUUUACCCAUAUUCAAGGUUGGGGAUAUUAGUGGAACUAUCAAGAAUGUUUUUGUAUCACCAAAGCUCUCCACUAGUCUUAUUUCAGUUGGCCAAUUGGUAGAUAACAAUUCUAAUGUGAACUUUUCUCAUAAUAGUUGCCUUAUGCAGGAUCCGGUGUGGGGGACGAUAAUCGCAAAGGUGCCUAAAGUUGAAGGACUGUCUCCUUUACACUUUUCUAUUCCCCGUGGUCUGGCUUUUGCUUCCACCACCGCUAAGAAUUCGGUUUGGCAUAAAAGUCUAGGACAUCCAAAUUCUAUUGUGUUAUCUCAUUUGUCCAAAUCUGGUUUAUUGGGAAAUAACAAUUAAUUUUCAGUUGCUUCCUUUGAUUGUUCUACUUGUAAAUUAGGCAAAAGUAAAACUCUUCAUUUUCCUAAUUUUGGUAGUCGUGUUGCAAUGUAUUUUGAUGUCAUUUAUAGGGAUGUUUGGGGCAUUUCACCAGUUAUUUAUCAUGCUCAUUUCAAGUACUUUUUGACAUUUAUAUGACCAUAGUCGGUUUACAUGGGUAUAUUUUCUUCAAUCUAAAUUUGAAGUGUUUUCCAUAUUCAAGAAAUUUUGGCUUAAAUUGAGACUCAAUUUUUCACAUGCAUCAAAAUAUUAAGAUCUGAUUCUGGUGGAGAAUAUAUGCCUCACGAAUUCAAUAAUUUCUUGCUUGAGAACGGAAUUGUAUCAGAACACUCUUGCCCAUAUACACCACCACAAAAUGGGGUUGCUGAGUGUAAAAACCGUCAUCUUUUGGAUGAUACUCGUAGUUUAUUGAGUCCUCUGUUCCAUCUAAAUAUUAGGUUCAAGUUGUUCUAUCUAAAUAUUAGGUUGAAGCUGUGUCUACUUCUGUCUAUUUGAUUAAUAGAUUUCUAUCUAAAGUGUUAAACCUUGAGUCUCCAUAUUAUCGUCUUUUUCACAAACAUCCUAACUAUCAUAGUUUUCAUAUAUUUGGUUGUGUUUGUUUUGUGCACCUGCCUCUUUCUCAACACAAUAACUCUCUGCCAGUCUACUAAAUGUGCUUUUAUGGGCUAUAGUACUUCGUAGAAAGGAUUAUUUUAUGAUCUAAGUUCUAUCAAAUUUCGUGUUUCUAGGAAUGUUAUGUUCUUUGAGAAUCAAUAUUUCUUUCCUACUCAUAUUGAGUCAUCUUCUAUUUGUUCGCUUCUUCUUACUUCUGAGGAUUUUUCAUUGUUUUCAAAGUGGUUCAAACCAAGAUUUGUGUAUGAACGAUGUCGUCCAACUUUACCCCAUCCUGAAACAGAUCCGCCGCCUGAGACUGCUCCAUGACCAGAAUCUGAGAUUUUUUCAAGGCCUGCUCCUCUUGAGCCUUCUCGACGAUCUACUAGAGUGUCUCAAACACCUAAAUGGUAUGUAUUUUCUUUUACUUUAACCACCAUCAUUAUUCCUACAGGUUACUCACAAGCCUCCAAGCUCGAAUAUUGGCAAAAAUCAAUGGAGGAGGAACUUUUUGCUCUUAAAGAAAAUGAAAGAUGGGACAUUGUUUCAUGUCCUUCAAAUGUCCGCCCUAUUGGAUGUUAAUGGGUUUAUUCAAUUAAACUUCAUUCUAAUAGAAGUCUUGAUCGGUAUAAAGCUCGAUUGGUUGUUCUUGGUAACAAACAAGAGUAUGGGGUGGACUAUGAGGAGACUUUUGCACCCGUAACAAAAAUGACUACGGUGCAAACUAUUAUUGUCAUUGAUGCUUCACAAAACUGAUCUCUUUAUCAAAUGGAUGUCAAAAAUUCUUUUCGCCAUGGUGAUCUCAAAGAAGACAUUUAUAUGAAACCUCCAUUUGGUUGUUCUCAUCGCCUACAUCAGAUGUACGCAAGUUGAAGCGGUCUUUGAAUGGAUUAAAACAAACUCGAAGAGCUUGGUUUGAUAAGUUAUGAUCUACUUUGCUAGAAUUUUCUUUUGAGCGGAGAAAAUAUGAUUCGUCUUUGUUUCUUUGGAAAACAUCUAUAUGUUGUGUUCUUCUUUUGGUGUAUGUAGAUGACAUUAUCAUUAGAGGAAUUGAUUCUUCACUAAUCAAUAGCCUCCUACAGAAGCUUAAAGAUUCUUUUCAUAUGAAAGAUCCUCCUACAUAUUUUUUGGGUUUGGAAGUUCAUAAUGUUGCUUCAGAUGUGUUUUUAAACCAACACAAAUAUACUAAGGAUCUGAUUUCUUUGGCUGGUCUUCAAGAUUCAUGCUCCGUAGAUACUCCAUUGGAAUUGAAUGUGAAGUAUUUUCGUGAGGAAGGCGAUCUUCUUCCUCAUCCAACUAUAUUUCGACAAUUAUAUGGAAAUCUAAAUAACCUUACUAUUACUCGACCGAAUAUCUCUUUUGCAGUGCAACAAGUUAGUCAAUUUAUGCAAGCUCCCCGUCAUCUCCACUUUGUGCCUGUUCAUCGCAUCAUUCAGUAUCUUCUAGGAACAUCUACUCGUGGAUUCUUCUUUCCAAGUUCUCCUAUUCGUCUUAAUGCUUUUAGUGAUUCUGGAUGGGCAGGAUGUCCUGAUACUCGUCGUUUAGUCACUGGUUGAUGCAUGUUUCUUGGAGAGUCAUUGAUAUCUUAGAAGAGUAAAAAGCAAGAUCGUGUAUCAAUAUCUUCAACAUAGAUUGAAUAUUUAACCAUGUAUACUGAUUGCUCUGAGGUUGUAUCGCUUCGUGGAUUACUUGCUGAGAUUUGAUUUCCUUAAUCUCAUCCUACUCCUCUCCAUGCUGAUGAUACAAGUGCUAUUCAGAUUGCUACUAAUCCAUUUUUUCACGAGAGGACCAAACACAUCGAAAUGAGAAGAUGCAGAUAAAGGAGUCCUUACUCUUCCACAUGUGUCUAAUGAUCUUCAAAUAGCUGAUGCGUUUACAAAAUCCAUGGCACGACAACACCAUCAAUUUCUAGUAGGAAAAUUGAUGCUUCUUCAUCCACCAACAUCAAUUUCAGGGGGGAUGUUAGUAUGAUGGACAUCUAAACAAUUGUAUAUAUUAAUGUAAUUAUAUAGUGAUAUAAAUUAGCAUGAUCACAUAGAUUUUUUGUAGAAUCAGAGGAAUAAAUAUUGUGAUAGAUUAACUGAUUUGGAGGGAUAGCAAAGC